Molecule: ribosomal RNA, 450 nt
Filed under: uncultured bacterium
Lineage: Bacteria
Description: partial 16S ribosomal RNA
Rfam family: Bacterial small subunit ribosomal RNA
Source: RNAcentral
GUGGGGAAUAUUGGACAAUGGGCGAAAGCCUGAUCCAGCCAUGCCGCGUGUGUGAAGAAGGUCUUCGGAUUGUAAAGCACUUUAAGUUGGGAGGAAGGGCAGUAAGUUAAUACCUUGCUGUUUUGACGUUACCGACAGAAUAAGCACCGGCUAACUUCGUGCCAGCAGCCGCGGUAAUACGAAGGGUGCGAGCGUUAAUCGGAAUUACUGGGCGUAAAGCGCGCGUAGGUGGUUUUGUAAGUUGGAGGUGAAAUCCCCGGGCUCAACCUGGGAACUGCCUCCAAAACUGCAUGACUAGAGUACGGUAGAGGGUAGUGGAAUUUCCUGUGUAGCGGUGAAAUGCGUAGAUAUAGGAAGGAACACCAGUGGCGAAGGCGACUACCUGGACUGAUACUGACACUGAGGUGCGAAAGCGUGGGGAGCAAACAGGAUUAGAAACCCGAGUAGUCC